Molecule: ribosomal RNA, 253 nt
Filed under: uncultured bacterium
Lineage: Bacteria
Description: partial 16S ribosomal RNA
Rfam family: Bacterial small subunit ribosomal RNA
Source: RNAcentral
UACAGAGGUCUCAAGCGUUGUUCGGAUUUACUGGGCGUAAAGGGCGCGUAGGCGGUAGCACAAGUCAGUUGUGAAAUCUCCGGGCUUAACUCGGAAAGGUCAACUGAUACUGUGCGACUAGAGUGCAGAAGGGGCAACUGGAAUUCUCGGUGUAGCGGUGAAAUGCGUAGAUAUCGAGAGGAACACCUGCGGCGAAGGCGGGUUGCUGGGCUGACACUGACGCUGAGGCGCGAAAGCGUGGGGAGCGAACAGG